Cercocebus atys (sooty mangabey) is the source of this 623-nucleotide long non-coding RNA. RefSeq lists it as uncharacterized. The transcript has 2 exons. The record is from RefSeq and is a predicted model, not a curated record. Lineage: Eukaryota; Metazoa; Chordata; Mammalia; Primates; Cercopithecidae.
GAUCCACCCGCCUUGGCCUCCCAAAGUGCUGGGACUACAGGCAUGAGCCACCUCGCCUGACCUUACUAUGACUGAUUCUAAGCUACCAAGAUCCCAACUUUCUCCCUGAAAAAGUAUCCACUAUGCCAACAGUCCUUUCUUUGCUUUUUUGUGUGGUCUUACCACUUAAGCAUGAAUCCCUAAACUCUAUACUUUAAUUUUGUCCGUGUUUGAACUUCAUAUUGUGAAAAAAUAGAGUGGCUAUUCUUUGAUGUCUGACUUCUUUUGCCUUACAUUAUGUUUUCUUUGUUGUUGUUUCAUCUAAGUUGAUAUUGCAGCUAUAGUUUUUACUUGGCCAGUCUAUUAUAUUUCUUAUGUAACUACAAAUUCUUUAACCAUUUUACUGUUGAUAGCUAUUUGGAUUAUUUAGCUUUUGGAUAUUAUGAAAAAUGCUGCUUGGAACAUUCUGGUACAUGUGUUCUGGUACACAUGUGUAAAAAGACUGAAACAUAGUGUGUAUGUAUUUUAAACUUUGAUAGAUGAUUCCAAAAGUGUUUCAAUUCAUUUAUAUGUAUGAAUUAGAGAAUUCUAACUGCAAUAUAUUCCUGCAUAGUCUGAUGAAAGCAAAAAAAAAAAAAAAAAAA